This is an RNA transcript of Oncorhynchus gorbuscha (pink salmon), 6784 nucleotides long. It is a transcript of the gene named ELAV-like protein 3, with no coding region annotated. The transcript is spliced from 7 exons. The record is from RefSeq and is a predicted model, not a curated record. Lineage: Eukaryota; Metazoa; Chordata; Actinopteri; Salmoniformes; Salmonidae.
CUGCAAGAGGAGCUGGGAAUAUUACACACAGAACACAGCCGAACCACAACACCCUCCCCUGGACACACCCUGCUGGGGAUCACUGCUUCUCUUUUUUCUGAACCGUCGCCCACGCCACUCGGAGAGAAAGCUCUCCCUCAUCAUCAUCCUGAAGAAAACCCCUUUCUCCUCAUUUUCACCCUACAGAGGACACCUACCAAUCUCCAAGGGCUGAGAUUCCCCUGGUGAACAUUGUCUUUUUUCCUUUUUUCUUUUUUUUUCCCUUUUGGAUUUGGACACGGCCUCUCCACAGUAAAUACACAGGCCAGCUAAUAUAAAGACCACAGAUCAUAGUAUUGACUCAACCUACGGCUUGAAGACCUGUGAAACGAAGAAGGACCUAGAUCACUCUCAUUGUAUGUCAAGAAUGGUUACUAUAAUCAGCACCAUGGAAACCCAGGUGUCCAACGGUCCGAGCGGAACCAGCCUGCCUAACGGGCCAGUCAUCAGCACCAACGGUGCCACAGACGACAGCAAGACCAACCUAAUCGUCAACUACCUGCCUCAGAACAUGACCCAGGAGGAAUUCAAGAGCCUGUUCGGUAGCAUUGGAGAGAUCGAAUCCUGCAAACUGGUCCGAGACAAGAUUACAGGCCAGAGUUUGGGCUAUGGGUUCGUAAACUAUGUGGAUCCCAAUGACGCAGACAAGGCCAUCAACACUCUCAACGGUCUCAAACUGCAGACCAAAACAAUUAAGGUAACAUACCCCUGCCCCAGUUCAGCAUCUAUCCGUGAUGCCAACCUGUAUACCCCGGUCUCUAGUCUAAAGACCCAUGACCCUAAAGGACAUGACCUAGCUAAGCUGUUCUACCCCUGACCUACCGGACUCAUCAUCACCUCCCGCAUCCUGGUGGACCUAGCAGGUAUAUCGCGAGGAGUGGGCUUCAUCCGGUUUGACAAGCGGAACGAGGCGGAAGAGGCCAUCAAGGGCCUGAAUGGCCAGAAGCCCCUGGGCGCAGCCGAACCCAUCACGGUGAAGUUCGCCAACAACCCCAGCCAGAAGACGGGCCAGGCCCUGCUCACCCAGCUGUACCAGACAGCUGCACGCCGCUACACUGGCCCUCUGCACCACCAGACUCAGCGCUUCAGACUCGACAAUUUACUAAACGCCAGCUACGGAGUCAAGAGGUUCUCCCCCAUCACCAUCGACAGCAUGACCAGCCUGGCGGGAGUCAACCUGACCGGGCCCACCGGAGCCGGCUGGUGCAUCUUCGUCUACAACCUGUCGCCCGAGGCUGACGAAAGCGUCCUGUGGCAGCUGUUUGGGCCCUUCGGCGCCGUCACAAACGUCAAGGUCAUCCGUGACUUCACCACCAACAAAUGUAAGGGCUUCGGCUUCGUCACCAUGACCAACUACGACGAGGCAGCCAUGGCCAUCGCUAGUCUCAACGGCUACCGCUUGGGAGACCGCGUGCUGCAGGUCUCCUUCAAGACCAGCAAGCAACACAAGGCCUGAGAGAGAGAGAGAGCUGUUAGCUGACGCCAGCUCCUUCAGCCAGCAGGGAGUGCCACUGAGCUCCCUGUUACUAUCACUCUACAUGGGCCUGGACUGAGUCUCUCUCUCUGAUGCACACUCACCCAUACACAGCCCUAUACACAUACAUACACACACUAUCAGACAUGCACACACUAUUAGACAUAUUUACACAUUCAAACAUACACAAAGUCAGAGUUUCAAACAAAUACACUCGUAGAGUUUUUCUUUUCUCUUUACACAACAUGCUAGUCCUUCCCUACGUUUGCCUGGAUUGAAUUAGUGGGGGUGCGUUGUGUAGUUGGUCUCUGGGGUUGGGAGUUAAGAUGCUCGAUGAGGGAGACAGUCUAACGAAUGUGACAGAGAAUGUGUGCUGAGUGCUUUGAUUGAAUUCAGGCAAAUAAUGACAAAAACUGCUGAAACAAAAUGAUCAAAAAUCUAAAAUGAACUACAAAUAUGUGCAAUUUAAACCCCAACUCUUACCCCACGAACUAUCCCAUUAUCUUGCUGGAGAGAGUGUAGUCACUUUUUUUUACACUUGGGCAUUUUGAAUCAGUGAUUUUUUUUAGAUCAAAGAAAAUUAAUUAAAAACAGUGUUCUCUUAUAUACAUAUAUUAAAAUAUAACUAUAUAUUCAAUAUUUAAGGUGGUUAUAAUAGCCGAGUAUGUAAGCAUUUUCUAGAAACUUUGACUACUGUUUCCUGGCUCAACAUUAGGUAGGUUGUGACUAGCUUUAGGGCAGUUUCUUAACCCUAAUAAGGACAGAUCCCAUACGAUUUAGGUUAUCAGACUGAACAGAUACUGGUCACAAAGACAAGCAGCCUGAAGGCCACCAGAAUUACACCCUCACUACACAACACAACACAGUCACACAUCAGCCCUGUUAGGGGGGAAACAACACAUCAUUGACAUCUAUUCUUUUCACUCUGGUUCUUCUAUCCAGAGUAGAAUGGAUGGAUUCCACCACAAGCAGAGCUGUCUGUGUGAACAACGUAGAACAUUGUCCCAGCUAGUGUUCCCAUGGAGACAGUGUUCAUGUACAAUUCUCUGAGAGACUAGGGACCAUGAGUUUAGAGCAGUCAUUUCACCAAAUCACAGAGCCACUUUACCAAAACACCCAACCAGAUAUAACACCCCUCCAAGGGAAUGAGAAGGUUUUUACAAUUCAGUGGAAAUGAUUGGCCUGGCUACGUAGGCUCAACAUCACCAUUAUGCACAGAUCAGAUCGAGAGGACGGUAGUUUUGACUUAGGUUGAGAUUCCGUCAUGACUGAGCAGUGAUAUCUCCUCACUGAGUCCUAGAGGGUGAUACAGCUUAUUGCCUAUUCCUCAGUUUACUAAACACUCAGUUUCCUUCAGACCCCGUAUAUGACACUUUAUAGAAGCUGCUGAGAAUCUGUUUCUAUUCACUCUCAUUAUAACCUUGCCUGCCCUGUCAAAAUAGAAGAAAUCAAGCCUGCAGGAAACCAACAGUGACACGUUUGUUUAUCUCACAUUGGAAACUCAAUUUUUUUUGUUGUUGUUGUUUUGCAACAUCUGAUCGGCACUAUCACCUAGCUGGAAUUUAAAAAAUAUCAACAAACCCAUAGAAAUAAUUUAUGACACCCUUGAUGAAAAUAGAACAACAAAAUAGUCUUGGCAACUGUCUGUUAGAAACAUCUGACAAGACAUUUCAUGGGGAGAGAUAGGAUUACAAUAUAAAGACAUCUGCAUAUAAUAGAUGAAAUAAGGUAAAGUGUGUUCAAGACAUUUUUGCUUUUCUAAAUAACGCUGUGUUAGCCAAAGAGGACAACCAUCUCUUUGAAAGGAUUACUUUAGAGACAAAUCUAUUUUUAUACAUACAAAAUGAACAAGACCUUGUGCUGAAUUUUUACAGAUUCUUAAAACUCUGAAAAACUGGGACACCGCAUGGCUGUAUUUUAAGCCCUUUGAUCUUUGAGAGAGGGAUGAGCGCGUGCAUGCGGUGUAUAGGUGGGGGUCGAGGAAGGGGCGAUGAAGAAAAGUUCUCACACAACCUUACUUUUUCAACCACAACCUAUAAACAAACUAUUGAAAUAGCAAACAAAAAGAACAUAAACAAAGACAUCGGAAUAGAACAAAUAAACAUCAACACAAACCAAUUCACUGAUUAGGAAUCAAACAUUAGAGACACAUCUGCAUUACUAAUACCGCCAUCUUUGAGUGUAAACUAGACAAACACAUAUCACUUUCUCUGAAGUUGCGUACAUUCAGUGUUGCUGAAUGAUUGUACAGUGAAGUGUUAUCGCUUUCACAGGAGACACUUAAAUCAGGCUGCAGUAAAGACAGUCAGUCAGGCCCAAUGAUUUGUCCUCACAGACACCUUGGGCUGGUUCGAAACAGAAAGGCUUGAAGUAGAUUCUCAAUAAAGCGUCCUUUCAAUGCAAAGAUGAUUAGGUUUAUUUGAAUGAAGAUUUCGCCAAAGAAUUUGGAAUAUGAGUGUCAAUAAGAAAUCAUUCAGUCUAUACUAUUACUAACGGCUCCCCUGAUAAUUCUUCUAUAUACCAUUAUCAUUUAUUGUAUGAAGAUCCCUUAUCAUUUUAAAUCCCCAUAGCGCUUGCAGAAAUAUCUGUUGUUCAUAUCAAAUUAUAUCAGAAUGGACUAAUAUCUUUUGGUUAACAUAUCUGUUGAGUAGAUAUAAUUUAGCCCAUUUGCACAGGUGCUUACCACAAACCUACAACAAUGUAAACAAAUAAUUCACCUUUCAGCAAAAACCACAACAGUUCCACACAAGUGUCUCUUGAACCUCAAUACUGUAAUACUCACACCAUCCGCUCACAACAGGAAUCCAAUUAAUCAGAGUAUGACAGCACUGUUUCAGUUGAACCCUCAGCCUCUGUCGAACUCUGACCAUUCCAUUUCUUACUGUGCCCCAGUAGUAUAUUGGUGGUGUGCCAACCAAAACAAACAUGAAAUGUCAUACAUUAAUACCCUGUCAUAAUCUAACUCCACACCUCCCUUCCCCAUUCAAUUAGUUGUGCCCAUACUCAAGAGAAAGUAGCACAGUAGGACUGAUACAGCAUCACUUUAAGAGACCAGAUGUGAAUCUUGGGAACAGAACAGCAAAUAGGCCACGUUGUUGAGCUGCAGUUGAAGUAGUCCGUCCCACUGGUGAUAUGGGGUAGAGUUCCAGCCCAGUUUCCACACACCCUAGACCAACAACAGGCCCUAGGCCACACCCUAGACCAACAACAGGCCCUAGGUCACACCCUAGACCAACAACAGGCCCUAGGCCACACCCUAGACCAACAACAGGCCCUAGGCCACACCCUAGACCAACAACAGGCCCUAGGCCACACCCUAGACCAACAACAGGCCCUAGGCCACACCCUAGACCAACAACAGGCACUAGGCCACACCCUAGACCAACAACAGGCCCUAGGUCACUCCCUAGACUAGAGCAACAACAAACUGUCCCAUCUUACACAGCCAAUACAGAGACCCUCUUCUCUUCCCACACCUAUGUAUGGUAGAGAGCCAAGGACAAUGGCAGGAGACAAAUGUACUGCACCGUUUGAGCAACAAUAAAUAAUCAUCUAAAAAGACAAAAAAACUUUCCUAUGGAACAGUAAGUGCAAUGUGUUUUGUUUUUAUAUUGACUGAGAACAAAAAGAUAUAUAUAUUUUUUAAAAGAAAAAUAAAUUAAACAUCACACUGAAAUGGUUUGUGGGGAAAAGGCGGAAGGAUCAAAUGUAAAGAAAUCUAAGUGUUAAUGCACUGAUUCAUUAAAGAGAAUCAAACAAGCACCGAUGGAGAGCUCUGGAAAUGUCCACAAUCCCAGCCCCGGAUUAGUGCUCUGAACAUGCAAGCUAAAACUGCAUAUUAUUAGUGGGUGAAUAAAAAGAGCAAUUUAAUUGAAAAGACCUUGAAAGGGAUACUGUCUAAUAUAUCAUCAGUUUUAGCCCACGUCGAUCUUAGAAUAUAAUUUGUCCUGUAAUUUUCUUUUACAUAUCAAGACUCACAUGUUAACUUAGCGUAUGUGUUGUUGACGUUACCAUAUAGGACACAUGGGUCCAACAUUUUAUUUGGUUGCUUUGAUUGGGUAUUUUUUCUUUCUUCAUUCCAUUAUUUAAUUAGUUGCAGUUCUUAGUGUAUGCAGAUUUUAGACUUAGUUAGAAAUUUAUUUCAAUCAAAACGUGUUCAAUUGUGUUUGUAAAAGUCUGUGGUAGCUUUUGUUGCAACAUAAUUUAAACAGAAAAAAAUUCAAGAUAGCGCCAACAAACUUGUAUUAUUUGGGCGACUUAAGCUUGUAGUUUUAACUUAUUGUUAACUUAAACUAUUUAUUAUUAUUGCCUCGUAUAAAGUAUGUUUUGUGUAUAUUUAUGGUUUAUUUCAUUAUAUUUGCAAGUUUAAAAGAUUUUAAGUUUGCCAAAAUUGUGGUUACAUUUUCUUUCUUAAAAAGGGAACAAAUAGAUUUUAAAAAACAGCUUUAGAAGUACAAUUUGGAAAUGUUCUCCAUAGUCAAAGAAUGCACUGCUAUAUUUAACUAAUUGAAGUGUAUAAACAUACAUGCUGUGUGCUAGAUGUUAUGCCUUUACUGCCUGUGUUCUGUUUGUCUUGUUAAAUGAAAACCUUUUGAUUAUUUAAUCUAAUCACAGUCUUGUUUUUCCAGCCACUGAGAACCCUGGAGUGUGUCAGUCAAGACAUGGGCUGGGCCUGGGGUGUGGCCUAUUGUAUGCUCCAGGGCAGAGCCUGGACCUUAGGCAGUGCCUGAGGCUCCAUGUGCACUCAGCAUGCUUUCACUCCUACUGCUGAUGAACAGAACUACUGUAGUUAUUAGAAGGACCAUAGUACCAAACUCCAACAUGACAUCUCAUGUACAGUAGUUCCAACAGCAGCCCGGAAGAAAGCAUCGUUGGGGGGGUUACUCCUAUAGGAAAGGGGUCAGUGGUUCUUCUGUUUCUCGACCAACUGUAUUUUGCGUCUAUUUAUUUAGAAGAGGGGACACAAGAGUAACUUAGUGACGUUCUUACAACAUUUUCCUGGAAUGGUAGAACAAAUCAAAGGAGAAAAUGAUCAAAACAGAUCUACUGGCAUCAAUGUAUCAAUGUCAGUAGGAAGAUAUCAAAAUCUCAUACUUCCAAACAUGACCAAAUGAACAAUGACAAAAUGUAACAAAGAAAAUAAACCUUUCAGUUUAGUUUAGGAUAUUUAUUACUGGGAUUUCAGCUGAAGACGCUUGAAGACUUUUUCAUGGAAUUGUUUAAUUAUUUGUACUUUACAUGCCAGAAAAAAUAAAAAGGUUACAAAUCUGA